This is a long non-coding RNA of Cucumis sativus (cucumber), 362 nucleotides long. RefSeq lists it as uncharacterized. The record is from RefSeq and is a predicted model, not a curated record. Lineage: Eukaryota; Viridiplantae; Streptophyta; Magnoliopsida; Cucurbitales; Cucurbitaceae. The transcript is spliced from 3 exons.
AAUUAGAGGUUGAGGAGUUGAUCGCCGAUCAUAGAUAAGGAGGGGCUGGUUAGUGGCUUGGAAAAGAAUUCAGACAACAUUAAUUUUUUCUAAAAAAUAAAACCAACCUUCCGACGGUUGGUUAACACUCCUCGACAGUUGAGAUAGGGUUUUCAUCAUUAUUCAUUUGGUGGCUAAAUAUUACUCAUGGGACGUUUCUAGAGAAUGCAAGACCAUGUUUGAGUGAGAAAUUGGUCUCGAUGAAAUUGAGAGUUCAAUGAACAGCACAUACAAUGCAAGUAAAUCUACCUACUCAAACCCAUCUUCUAUUUCUAAAGCAGAAGGGCUUUCGGUGGCUGAAACAAGUGAGUGAUUAAGUUUUU